GUAAAAAAAAUGAGGGGGUUUCUAGGCACUCCCGUUUGCAAGGGGAGCGAGUGGGCAGUGGGGAAAAAGGCCAAUCCUCGCUCGAACCCUAGCCGCCUCCACGCUCGCUUCCUCCUCCUCCAUCCUCCCGCGUCAGUUGCGCCCCCUCCACCCUCCCGCAUCUCGUCCACCCUGGGAUCCGGGUUAUGCGGAGGCGAGCUUCCCUGGCGCCGGCGGCGCUCAGUUGGAUCCGAAGGAGAGAGAGAAGAUGAGAGGGAGAAAAAGGGAAGAGAGGAGGGAGAGAGAGAGGAAAGAGGAGAGGGAGGCGCCACGUCGGAUGGGAGAGGGUCGCAGCCGGCGCAGGCCUGCUUCGGCGAGGUUAGGCGUGAACUGGCGGUUGGCGGCGGCUCGAUCCACUCCUGGAUCGAGACCUACGAGGAUGCUGGGGCUCGGGCGUGAGGCACGGGAGGCUGCGCUCCGCCUCUUCCUCGCUCAACAAGAGGAGCAUGUGCAGUGCGGGUGGUGCGGCGGACGGCGGCUCAUGCAGUGGUGCGGCAUCCGGUGGCCUCAGCGGGUGGGCAACGACACCUGCAACUGGUGCACAAUGGUGACGCCAUGCAGCUCCUGCACUCCGCAACCCUCUCCUUCCCGGCACAGCAGGAGCAGGAGCAAGGAUGCCGAGCCAUUUCAGUUGCAAGGAAGAGUAGGAAGAUCAGGCAGAGAAGGUUUAACAUACCUCUUCUACACUGACAAGUCUUUGCUUCCCAGGAUUGUCAUGGUGAGCUGCUGCUGUAGUGCUUUAUAAUUUGUUGGCGACCUUCCUGAACAUGUGCAGCUUGAUGGUUCUGCACAAUUGCUAGGAGCAGCUUGAUUAGGCUCCUCCGGAGGGACAUAUCCCCUUUAACCCUCCACUGUCAAUGAUGGGAAAAACAUGGUGCUAGAGGACAAAGAAUCGUUAAGCAGAAUCUGCUACCAGCUGUGCAAGUGUUUGUCGUGGCUGCGGAUGAAUCAUGUAAGGAUGGUGCAGAACUCACAAGAGGGAAACAACCGAACCGCGGUAACCAAAUCAAACAGCUGAUAAGGUACAAAUUUUGGAAGAUAUAUGGUUUGCCCUAAACAAGCAUAUACAUCAGAGUACAAAGGGGAAUUACGUCUCUGUUUUAUGUUAUGUUUUCUGCUUGCUAUCUUGUUUACAGACUCUGUAAGUGUGCCUUUCUAUUGGCAAGCUUUGUGCCAAUGACUCAACAGUCAGCUAUCAAUUAGAAUAGCAGGGGUUUGAGCUUGUUUAAACUGUAGAGUACACAUUCAUGUACUGUUUCUCAGACAUCAAGAAAACAUGAGAUAAACAUGUAUGACGAUCUACCAUGUUAUUACUCGGGUGUUGAUUAGGAAGCACACAUAGGUUUAGCAGAGAAGAAACUUCCAGCGAAGAAGUUUCCGUCAUUUAUCAGGUCAGGCUAUGGAAGUAAACGUGAGCAUUGAAGCUAAU
This is a non-coding RNA of Aegilops tauschii subsp. strangulata, 1468 nucleotides long. The record is from RefSeq and is a predicted model, not a curated record. NCBI's taxonomy places the organism in Eukaryota, Viridiplantae, Streptophyta, Magnoliopsida, Poales, Poaceae.